UGUCGGAAGAGACCAGACAGAGCAAAUUGGCCGCGGCCAAGAAAAAGGUAAAACGCGCCGGGUCGCGGCCCCUCGAGCCAGACAGACCGAGUCCUUCCGACGGCCGGACAGUGGCCAGAGUCUGUGCCAUUCCUGAGGCACACGGGGCGAGCCCCUGGGCGCCCCUCAGCUCCCCCUACUAAAGUCUUCUCAGCCAGCCCCGCCCCCUCAACAGCCCAGCCCCCGCCCUCGCCAGUCGCCCCUGGGUGACUUUGGCCGGUGACUCCAGGGCUCUCCGCUCCAGGCGCGGCCCCGGCUUCCUGCCGCCCCAAAUUGGAUCUCCCUGGGCUCCCUGGUCGUUAAGGACCUCGGUCCCAGCCCUGCGCUCCCCUCCCCCACCGUGGAGUAGCGACUCGGGCGUCGGUAGGGAGGAGUGGAAUGUAGUUACGUCACAGCCCCCCUCUGAACUGUCAUUACCACCGCGAGCUCGGCCUGUGAUCUUCCGACCUGGUCCCCUAAGUGUCUUCAUUCCCUUUGGGCUUGUCUGGUCUGGGCACAGAUUUCUACCUGGAAGGGAACUCUCAGGUCUGUGGGACCUAGUGCUGAGAGGUUUUAGGCUUCCUUACUUCCAACUCACACAGUGAUAACUCAGAAAGCCUACACACUUCACCAAUGAGCUAAUAAAACGUUGACAGUAUCUCCCGAUGACCAUGGAAGAACAGGUUUGGGUUCUUCCUAAACCUGGGAUUUUUCUCCCAGGUGUCUACCUUCCAGAGUGGCUUAAAAAAAAUUUUUUUUCCUGACAUCUUUACAUUCGAAUUCGCUGAGAUUCUGGGACCAGGGUGCCCUUCAUUCAGUGUUUGCUGGAGUGAGGUCUGUUUGUCUAAUGUGGAACUGGUCCUGGGAACUGAGCUUCACAGUUUGCAUCUUCCCCAAUUCAUCUUCACAACUUGGGGUGCAGAGUGCUCUGGGAUAAUAAAUGUGAGGCAUCUCUCUGAAGCAUCAUUUUAUUUUCUUGAGAGCGAUUAGACAUUAAUAUAUAGAGAGAUGACAUUUGUAUAGAUUUUUAAGAUUGUAAUAGACCUCUCUGAAAUGAUAUUUGGGUGUGCUCUGUUGCCAGAUUCGCUGGGGCUGUGUCUUUACUGCCUUCUGUUAGGAUAUGUUGAUUUGUAAAACUUUGGGAAGUACUGGUGUGCAGCUUUAACAGAGGUAUAAGCAGGACUCCAAUGUUUGGCUUCUGAACUGCCCAGUGUACAGUUCCUGCUUACUUAAUAUUUACUUAUCCACCCCUACCUCUGGCUUGCCCCUGGGAGCUGCUGCUUUAUGGCGAACUCCAGAGCUGGGAAUCAGAAGAUUGAACUUGAACUCCAUUAUUGUCUUUAUAAAAAACUUCAUGUUUGUAGUCCAUAUUUUCAGUCCUUAAUCAUUGAAACACCUUGUGACAUUGUUGAUGACAUUACAUCAGAUGGUACACAUAAGAAUAUUUUAUAAAAAUUAUAGAGGAAGAUGUGAAUAUAGGGGCUCAUUCUCAUGAGUGUCACUGCUUCUCCUUUUCACAGCUGAGAGAGUAUCAGCAGAAGAACAGUCCUGGUGUUCCUGCAGGAGCAAAGAAGAAAAAAAAGAUAAAAAAUGGCAGUAGCCCUGAGACAACCACUGCUGGUGGUUGUCAUUCACCUGAGGAUGUGAGUUUUAGCUGGUCAGCCUCCCAGGGAUUGGGGGUUCAAAGGGCAAAAAGGGUAAUGGUUAAGAUUGAAGAAGUGUCAGGUAUUGGUUAAGAAUUUUGGGUUUGAGGGCUGGGGCUCUAGUUCAGUGGCAGAGCACUUGCCUAGCAUGUGUGAGGCACUGGGUUCAAUCCUCAGCACCACAUAAAAAUAAACAAAAUAAAGGUAUGCUGUCCAUCUACAACUACAAAAAAAUUAAAAAAAAGAACUCUGGAUUUGAGGGGCUGGGGUGGUAGCUCAGUGGCAGAGUGCUUGCCUACAUAUGUGAGGCACUGGGUUUGAUCCUUAACCCCACAUAAAAAUAAAGACAUGUUGUCCGUCUAAAACUCCAAAAACAUUAUAAAAAAAGAAUUUUGGUUUUUGAGAGCUGGGGGUGUCUCAGUUGUACGAGGCCCCUGGGUUCAAUCCUCAGCACUGAAAAAAAAAAAAUAAUAGUUUUUAUGUACACUUAUGAAGCUUAAAUGAGAUUUAUUGUUUUUAUGUUUAUUUCCUAAUAGAGAGUCAGGUUUGGAGUAAACAUUCAAUAAAUGGUAGUUGCUAUUUGGUUUCCUCAGCCUUGUGGGCCAGGGGGAAGCCAGGCAAUUGAGAACAGCUGCUUGCCAUCAGGCUCUUCUUUUAGGAUGCAUCACUGCAAGAGCCCCAGGGUGUGGCAAGGAGAGCCCCAGGCUCCAGGAUUGGAAGAAUGUCUGAAUUUUGAGUCUGUUUUUGCUAUUAGCUUGCUGGGUGACCUCAGAAAAUUAUUUUCUUCCAGGGUCUCAGUUUCCUUAUCUGUAAGAUGAUAUGGUUGGAUUAAAUCAUUGUUUUUCAAACUUAAUUUUUAGCUCUAGCUCCCUGUGUUCUAGUGAACCCUUACUUGGGAGUCUGGUUUUUGAAAUGGAGAUGGGCGUCUGGAGCUCUUCCAGAUUCCGCCCUGCAUCCUAAGCCUGAGGAGAGGGUCUCAUGUGCAUAUUAAGACUUGCACUGGUCAGGUAACUUGACUACAUCACUCGGAAUUUUACUAUUUGUUUACUUUGAUUGCUAGCUCUGGCAAGGCAGCAAGUGGCUUUUUGGAAGGAUGGCACAGGCCCUGGUAUUGGUCUCCUUUGCUCUUCUUCAGCAUUUCAUUUUCCUAAACCAACUUCUCCCUUCCCUUGACUUUCUUGCCUCUCUCUAAGCCACUUCUUUCUUUCCCCCCACCCUUGUUUUUCCCUUUUCACCUCCUGUAGAUUCAGGACAUUCUGAAGGUGCUGGUGUCCGACCUUAACCAUUCCAAUGGGGUAGCGCUCCCCCCAUUGGACAAGUGGAAGGUGAGGCAGUGCCGAGACCACCCUUUGGCUUCCUCUCUCCCAGCUGUGCAUGCCUCUGAGGCUUCUCUGGUUUGGGGAUCAUUUGCCUCUGGCUUAUUUUAUGUUGCUGCCAUUAACCCUCAGCCUGCUUACAUCUGCUUCUUCACUUGCUUUGUUGAUUGGGCUUUUUUCCUUCCCCACAUCUUUUAUCAUCUUGGAGAAGGUGAAACAUACCUUGAAGACUAAAACUAAUUUGGGAAUAACUUUGAGAGAAGGUGUGUGGAGCUUGAGCUUUUGAAUGCCCAGUGUGGUGCUUUCAGACUGGGAGAGAUUAAAAAACAAAACAACAGCAAAACUUUUUAGGUCUUGUCCUCUGUGUGUCCAUCCCUAAAAGAUCAUUAGACCUUAAAAGUUUGUGAUCUUCUUGAAUUGAUUACUUCAUUGGGUUUGAAGUUUGGGAAUGUAAGGUUAAGAAAAAGUGAGUUUGCAUUAUAGUUGCAAGGAUUGAGGCUAUUUUUUUCAGAUCAACUAACUGAAAAGGAUGUGAGGUUAACCAACAGAUGAAUGACCAGAAAACUCUGCCCCUAAUCUCUCUUAAAAAUCAGAGGACACCUGGCCAUAUUCAUUUGGCCCUUCAAAGCACAGGCACUUUGUUAAACAGAGGCGAAAACAGACACAAGAUAGGAUGGAUGCAGGCAUAGGGAGGAGAGGCUUCUGAGAGAAGCUAGGGAGAAUGUGGCACCAUCCCAAAUACUUAAGUGAGGGGAAAUUGGUUCUGAAUGGAUUCAAGGAUGGAGGAGGUGGCCACUUUGAGGUCACUUUGAAGAUUAAAGGUGAGUAACAUUCGUGCACAUGGAGAGUGGGGAGGCAGAGGGAACGGAAGGGUCAUGGUCAGCAUUAUGAGGUCAUUAUGAAGUCAUAGAAGACCUUUCAGGAAUGCAGGUAGCUCAGUCCAGGGGCAUGGUCUGGUUACACAGGGCUAGGCAUUGGCCUCCAUCGGAUAUUGUAUUGGAACUUUCUGUUUAGCUAACUUGUCCAAGGACAUCUGCCAAGCCAGAGCAAUAGAGCUAAGACAGAGCCAGAUCCUUUUGGAACUGGGCAUAGGGAGAGGGAUGACGGGUUGAAGAGUUUUCCAGUCAUCAUAGGUGUUCCCACCCAGGCGGUCAGGUCUACCCAGGUGCUAUGACUCACUUUGUCAACUUGGAGGAUAUAAAGUGGCAUGUGAGGUGGGAGCCUCAAUAAGUCCUGCAGCUGUGUGUCUGGUGUUUGCCCUAGUGAGGGGCCAGCCACAUAGGGAGUUGUUUUCUCUUCAGAACAAUCCUAGUCUGUGCUAGUGUUCUGAGAUUGUGCACCCAUCCUGUUACCCCUCUGUUGUGGAGGUGAAGACCUACUGUGUUUCAAAGCCUCGCUGCAUCAAUAAGUGGUUCCCACAGAGGUUUUCUCCUCUAGGAAUGCAGAGAUGGGAUUGCAGUCCCCUGAGUAGAGAUAGUGGUGUCUCCAGAAAUGGGGAAUAAUGGAGACAAUGAUUUCUAGUAGAACUAGGUUAUGGUGAAGGGAGUGGACUAUGAUACCAAGUCCAUCACCCAUAGUCUCUGCCCAGCAGGAUCCCAGAGUUAGGGUCACAGUAAUUCUCUAGAAGAACAAUGCAUUUCUUCUCCCUGACUUGGGCACACUUUCCUUCCACCUGCUGUGGCUGCCAUUGGCCCAAGCCUGUACCACCUUUUGCUGAGCCCCAGGGAGAACAAGGUCCUCAGGUAUUUAGGAAGGGGGUCAUGCAGCCCCUGCUUUGAUCUUUGGCUGGCUGAAAUGCUGCCAAGCAGUCUGAAGCCUGGGCUAAUGGUAUCUAUACCCCCAGAUGCUCCCAGCACAUAUGACUGUCCCUCUGACUGCAGCAACAAUGUCCUGCCUGCUCUGCACCCUUGUGUCCAUAGCAAUGAAGCAGGUUCUCUCCUAUAUGGCCCCUGACCCCCUCCCCCUGUUCUGUGACAGGCACCCAAAGACCACACUGCUCCUGCACCACCAGCUGCUGAUGACAGCGUGUCACUUGGCCCUGUCCCUUCCCCAGGUCCUACUCUCCCUAGCCUGGAGUUACCUCAGGUUUGUUCCUUUCCCUUUUUCCCACUAUCUUCCUGUGUGCUUACUCAUCCUCUUCCCAAAGGAUAAUGCUCAUACGGACUCUCUUCUCUUCAAGUAGCUUGGUCUCUAGAGCCAGGUGCUCUUCCUGGGGACUGGGAUGGGGAGGCCAAGACACAGCUUUUCUUUGAGGUUUGGGGAGAUGGAAAGUUAUUGGAAUGAGGUUGGCUCACCCUGUCCCUGGGUGAUUUUUACUAGAAGUUGAAUGACCACAUCAUGUGUUUCUUCCCAAACAGAACCAU
RNAcentral lists this long non-coding RNA (5340 nucleotides) under Marmota monax (woodchuck). The record is from RNAcentral. Lineage: Eukaryota; Metazoa; Chordata; Mammalia; Rodentia; Sciuridae.